CAGUGUUUACUAAAGUAGACAACAACUCAAUCUUUCAGUUUUAGAAAAAUACAUUCAUACAUAUGUUCGCAUACAUGUCUAUACAUUUUGAAUAUGCAAAUAUGAGUAGCAAUGUAUAUUUAUAAGAAAAGACUUGACCUUGAUUGCUUUAUGAACUGUACAAGAUGCAAACUUUUACUUUUAGAAGAACUAGAACUGAUCUAAACUGGAACUUUGCAUUCAUUGAUGUAAGAAAGAAAGAAAUGAUGGAGAGAGAUAGACUGGUGCUGUUGUGAACUGUGUGCGUGUGCUUGAGUCGAGUCAGGGCGGGGAAGGCUGAGCUUGGGAAGCUCCGGCGGCGGCGCUAACCUUCGUGGGGGUGUGUCUGAACUGUGGUGGUUGAGUUACAGAGCGGUUGCAGAGGGCUAGACUGGAGGUCAGGAGAGGCGGUCGGCGGCGGUCCUCGCUGCCGUCGGCCAAGGUUGAGCAAGGGAGGCCGCGGCACGGCGGCUCUGCCCGCUGCUGUCGGGCCGAGGACGGAGAGAGAGAGGGUGAGAAGGGGCGGCGACCAGCUACUGGUCGUGGCAGCCGGAGUCAGCAGAGGGAGGCAGAGCUCGGCGGCCAUGGCUGCUGUUGCUCGGCCACGGCCGGAGGCGGAGAAGAGGGAUGGCUGGGGUUCAGGCGCUGCGGCAGCUCGACGCUGUUGUCGUCGCCGGUGAUGGGAACUCCAGCGGCCGUGAGAGCAGAAUAAAGAGGAAGGGAGCGGCGAUCUCGCCGUCGCCAAGGAGGAAGGUGAUGGCGGUCGGAGUUCAGUGAGGCGAACAGAGGGAGACGGGCG
This 817-nucleotide long non-coding RNA is filed under the name Salvia miltiorrhiza (redroot sage). Its description in RNAcentral is "long non-coding RNA (SMIL_LNC013092)". Lineage: Eukaryota; Viridiplantae; Streptophyta; Magnoliopsida; Lamiales; Lamiaceae. The record is from RNAcentral.